GGACGGGUAGCAUAACUGGUAAAUGCGCUGCACUCUCAACGACUUGAACUAGCAUGAGAUGCGUGGUUCGAGUCCCGCUCUGUCCC
Non-coding RNA from Dendrothele bispora CBS 962.96, 86 nucleotides. The record is from the annotation of a GenBank genome assembly. Lineage: Eukaryota; Fungi; Basidiomycota; Agaricomycetes; Agaricales.